Molecule: ribosomal RNA, 202 nt
Filed under: uncultured Sphingobacteriales bacterium
Lineage: Bacteria; Pseudomonadati; Bacteroidota; Sphingobacteriia; Sphingobacteriales
Description: partial 16S ribosomal RNA
Rfam family: Bacterial small subunit ribosomal RNA
Source: RNAcentral
UCAAAUCGAGCACGGCCCUUACGUCCAGGGCUACACACGUGCGUACAAUGGCCGAUACAGAGGGCAGCUACCUAGGUGACAGGAUGGCAAAUCUCCAAAGUCGGUCUCAGUUCGGAUCGGAGUCUGCAACCCGACUCCGUGAAGUUGGAUUCGCUAGUAAUCGCGCAUCAGCCAUGGCGCGGUGAAUACGUUCCCGGGCCUU